CCCUAUGGGGUGCAGCAGGCCAAUCCGGCGGCAACUCGACCACGCGGCCACGACCGGCCUGUGACGUACCGCGUCGACUAUCAUCGAAAAUGCGAACCUCUCGAAAGUUCGGUCAAUGACCGUGCACUUCCCGGCAGCCGGCCGCAAUCGGCUGCCGGGAAGUGGAAGACCCGCGUGGCGGCACCUUCCACUUGGCCGAUGCUGACCCAAGACCGACAAACUCGUGUCCGGGCGGCAGGGCGUCCGGGAGGCCUCAUCUGCUUCCCCUGGUGCGGACAAACCUUCGAGUGUAUCCUCGUCCGAUGGGUCAUGCCGUCUGAGUUCAAGGAACACAACGGCGUCCCUUAUCAACAACACCUGCCGGCGAAAAACCUCGAAGAAGCGAAAUCAGCCGUUCAAAUCCAUCAGUUGAUGAAAAGGAUGAGUGCGCGGGAGAGC
This 438-nucleotide ribosomal RNA is filed under the name uncultured prokaryote. Its description in RNAcentral is "partial 16S ribosomal RNA". The record is from RNAcentral.